RNAcentral lists this ribosomal RNA (762 nucleotides) under Triticum aestivum (bread wheat). Its description in RNAcentral is "partial small subunit ribosomal RNA". The record is from RNAcentral. Lineage: Eukaryota; Viridiplantae; Streptophyta; Magnoliopsida; Poales; Poaceae.
AUGAAUGGAAUAAUGGUGAGCGCUUCAACCGGGGUGAUGAACUCUCUCCUGGGUAAGCUGGCCACUCUGAUGGGAGAGGAGUUUGCCAAGCUAAAGAACCUGAGGAAGGAGGUGAAGCACAUCAGCGAUGAACUGAGCAGCAUGAAGGAUGCUCUAGAGAGCCUUGCGGAUGUGGAUACGCUGGAUAAACACACCGCUAGCUGGAGGGACGCGGUCAGGGAGAUGUCGUAUGACAUCGAGGAUGUUAUCGAUGACUUCAUGUGCAAAACUGGGGAGAAAAGCAAAAAAACUGGUUUUAUCCAAGACACCACUCAACGCCUCAAAACUUCAAGGGGCCGCCAUCAGAUCGCUGGGCAGAUUCGGGACAUCAAGAAACUUGUGCGUGAAACAAGUGAGCGGCGUGAAAGAUAUAAGAUUGAUAUCCCCAAAUCGGGCAAUGUGGCAGUUGACCAACGCGUUGUGGCACUCUAUGAAGAAUCAUCUAAAGUUGUUGGUAUGGAUGGCCCAACCAAUAUGCUUGUCAAUUGGCUAAAAGAUGAGGAGAAGAAGUUGAAGAUUGUAUCAGUUAUUGGUUUUGGAGGUUUGGGAAAAACAACACAUGCCAAUCAGGUAUACCAUAAGCUGGAGGGGAAAUUUCAGUGUGGUGCAUUUUUGCCGGUGUCUCAAAAGUCAAAUAUGCCAAAACUUCUGCAUAGUUUAUUAACCCAACUUGGGUGUGGACAAUAUUGUCAUGACUGUGAGUUAAAUGUUCUUCUCGACUAA